Molecule: long non-coding RNA, 491 nt
Filed under: Androctonus crassicauda
Lineage: Eukaryota; Metazoa; Arthropoda; Arachnida; Scorpiones; Buthidae
Source: RNAcentral
AAUUCACCACCAGUUUGGAAGUUCAAAAAUUUUUUCUUUUCCUUCUUUUUGCGGGAACUCUGGCAUAAUUCUUGAAAAAUUACAAAAUAUUGGAAAAAUGCCAGGGUAAACUACAAGCACUGAUAACACAGAUAAAACCUACUAGUUACCUAUACUUAACUUAGAAUAUAUUUCCAUGGCUUACGUAGACUCUUAGCUUGCCUAUUGCUAAUAACCAUCGCAUUUCUCUGCCCGUUGUAGAUCUGGAUACUUUCUGCCAUGUAUAGUUCUUCAUCUCUAUCCAAUGCCUUUAAAACUUUGCUUUCUUGCCAUUUCGCCUCCAUAUCUUGCUCAUAUACUCUCUUGGCCAGGCGGUAUUCAGGUUGGCCCUUCCUAUUUUGUUUUUGUGCUCUACCAGCCUGCUUUUGAGGUUCCUCUUGGUGGCCCCAAUAUAAACCUCGUUCUCUCCAUCUUCCUUGUUUGGUACAGGGAUGGUAUAUGCACCUGUCCUU